Molecule: long non-coding RNA, 2169 nt
Organism: Syngnathus typhle (broad-nosed pipefish)
Lineage: Eukaryota; Metazoa; Chordata; Actinopteri; Syngnathiformes; Syngnathidae
Exons: 2
Source: RefSeq, a predicted model, not a curated record
UAGACUUUACUGAGCCAACUUUCACAAAUCUAUGAAGUUUUUAAGUAACCAGAGGAGCAGCAACACUCUACAGCAGAUGGAAGCAACAUCGAAAUGUGUUGGCGUGCUGGUUCGUCUUAAACACCGAAUACUUCAAACUCUGAUCUCAUCGAGCAGGGAUGUAAUGAUUCACUCUACCCCUGAUUCGAUUCAAAUUUCGAUUCCUAAUUCCUUUAUUUCCUUUCAAAACAUCCUGCAUUCGUUUGAUUGUAUUACAUCUGGCAAUUUCUUUGUUUCAGAAAGAGGAACGAACCAGUUAUUUGAACAAACGAGCAAAGUCAUUCAAAUGGCAGAAGAAAUACUGAGGAAACACGACCUGAUUCAUACGGCCGUUGAAAUGAAUGAACUGACCGUACCGUGACCCCAAGAGGGGGUAGGUCGAUUAUUGCAGUGUAUAUGUUUAAAGGUAGUUAGACACUUUGAGUAAAAAUAUUAGGAGGGUAAUGCUGGGAGUUAUCAAAAUGUUCUAUGUCAACAUGACCUAUGGAACCAUGACAAUAUAUAUUAUGAAUGUGAUACUGCGUAUGUUUUAUCAAUCUGUUAUGGCGAGCGCUUUUUUCUGUGCAGUGGCGUGUUGGGGGGACAGCAUCAAAAAGAGGGAUGCCUCCCGCCUAAACAAACUGGUGAGGAAGGUGGCUUCUGUUGUGGGCACAGAGCUGUCUGGUCUGACAUCUGUGGCGAAACAACGGGUGAAGCCCAGGCUGCUGUCCAUCAAGGAAAACCCCGUUCACCCACUGCAUGGCACCAAGUCCAAACGGAGGUGCAACUUCAGUGACAGGAAGCGGACACCGUCCUGCUCCACAGAAAGGCUGAGGGGAUCAUACCUCCCCAGACUUUUUAAGUCCACACGGGUGACAGGGGUACGAUCAUGGGCAUGACCGUGGGUUAAUAUAACAUGCACUGGGUAUAUCAUUAAUUUUUUUAUAUACUGGUGCAUGACUUGUUCACAAGUGACUAUUGCACUCAUAUCCCCUGGAUUAUGUUGUCCUUCCCCUCUUGGGUUUGGAUACUACUGGAUACUGUGAAUUUAUCAAUGCAUCUACUGUCCAUCUUAACAGCUUAAUUGACUGUAGUUUAUCAUAUUGCUCAGAUUCCCAUCAGUUUUGAACUCAAAAGAGUACCCAAAGUUUAAAAAAUAUUUUUCAGUCUCAACAGCAAUCAGAUUGCAGCACAUUAAAAAAAAAAGACAAAAAAAAGUGCACGCUACAAUUUAAGCAUGGUACAAUUUGCAUUUUAUUAUUAGAUUUUCUAACUGACUCUGAAAUUAGACUUUUCCUUCCAGUUAUCAACGUUGUGUAGCAGACAAGUUUACUGGAUGCAUGUGUGUGGGCAGCCUGAUUUUUUUCUUCUGCAUUGUAACACAGCAAGUUUAACAGAGCAUCUCUGUAUUCCGGUUUAAUCGGCAGAUUAGAUGGCAGUCACUCCUCAGUGGUUGUGCUUGUUGCACAUGUUGAUUAGUCAUUAAUUGGCCGCGUUCAUUAUUUGAGCGCAGCAGCGUAAAGUGGGGCUAUAAGAGAGGGCCUGAUGUCAUGCCGGGGAAAGCUGAAUAGCACCAGUCAAUGAGUGAAAGGACUAUUGGAAUCCUAAUUGGAUGAGGAUUUUGGGAGAACCAGCCUUAUGCAAUGGCAAGAUGAAUGCUUUGGGGUUGGGCGCAAUAUUGGAGUAUUGUAAGUUGGGGGGGUAUUGGUGACCCCAUAAAGUUUAGCUAGCUUCAAUGUAAGAUUUUUGACACAAGAACAAAAAAUGAAGUACAGUACAAUCAGUUAUUAUCAGAUGUCCUCCAUUUUAAACAUCAUCCAAACUGCAGGUGCUAAUUUUAAGAUUGUAAUUCAAAUUAAAUUUUGAUAAUUGUUUUAGAGAGUGGGGAAGAAAAAACACAAUUAUGAUCAUUUAGUUGCAUAGGCGUGCACAAUGUCUUCCUACUGGGAAUGUGGCUUUGUUGAGAUCAAAUCAAACUCGUGUUAAAUGGGAAUCAAGUACACACCUGCCACAAUUUGAAGUGUCUCUGAUAAACCCCAAAUCAAUGUUCUAGGAGGCUUUCCCUGACAUUGUAGUCACAUCUUACACCACAAGUCCGCAGAAAGCACAGAAAGGGGGGUUCAUGCUGGCUGCUGCAUCACUGGACUGCUG